Molecule: non-coding RNA, 73 nt
Organism: Diachasma alloeum
Lineage: Eukaryota; Metazoa; Arthropoda; Insecta; Hymenoptera; Braconidae
Source: the annotation of a RefSeq genome assembly
UCCCCGGUAGCUCAGUUGGAAGAGUACCCGGCGCGAGACUGGGAGGUCCCGGGUUCGAUUCCCGGCUGGGUGC